CGUGGGGAGAGGCGGCAGCAGCAGCAGCAGCAGCAGCAGUAGUAGUAGUAGGGACCGUGUCGGCCCCGCUGCGGUGAGGGGGACGCUCCGGUAGCGAGAGGCUUCGCUGCAGUCAGGCCUCGAGCGACGUGCAGGGGCAGGUUUGCACAGGGUUCCCCCCUGCAAUGGGGGACAGAAAGGUGGUUUAGGUGCCGUUUCGGCUCUGUCCUGCUCGUUUCCUGCCAAGUGCAGGUGUUCCCCCUGCUGUUGGGUUUGCUUUUUCGAAGUGUCGGGAACAGCCGUGGCAAGGGAGGAGGCUGCUCCAACGUGACCGCACUGGGGUCUUGUGUAAAACCGUGGAGCACGGACAAAGGUGAAAGCAAUGGAGCCCAAUCCAAGUUAUUUCUUUUCCCAAGAUGGAAAAGGCAGUGUUGGGACAGGUUGGGGUGGCAUUUCCAUGUCCAGCUGUAGACCUCCAACUUGUGUUUCCCGAUUUUAGUAGCAGCACCUUCUGCUGCCUGUGGGCUGCAUGGUGAGCUUGAGUCCACCUGGGUGACAUUUUCCUGUUGGUGUUUGGCUUCUGGAUGGAAGAGCUGAAAUGAGUGCCACAAUGCCAGUAGCUUAAUCGCCUAGUUCUCAGUUGAACAAUUGUCCUUCUAGAAAUUUAGAGUAGUUGUGACUGGGUAUUUGUUUCAGACCCCAGGAUCACUUAUUUCUUUGCUCUUUUUAAGUGGAAAAGCAUUGAGUAGACAGCACUGAUACUGACUAUUUAACAUCGGGAUGCUUUUGCCAGCUUGCAUUCCACUGGUCUGUAUGUUGCACUGACAUGGUGCUGUUGACUUUCUGCUCCAAUCUGCAAACUUGGAGCAGCUAGUCAUAAUGAAUUUUUAUUGCCAUUGUAAUAGAGAAAGGCAUAUCUCAAAAUUUUGCCACUUCAGACCAGAACCCUUCAAGUUGAUAUACACUAUGUAAAGUAGAAGGCAUCUCUAAAUACUAAUCAAGAAUGGAAAAAGAGAAGAGAGUUUGCAAAUAGAUUGCGUUUGUCCUUUUGUCUCAGAGUGUUUUGCAGCUUUCAUGUCUUGAAGAAGCAAUGGUGUAUUUAGAUAGUAUUAGAAAUCAUCAGUAUAAUGUUUACAGAGUCCAGCUAUAAGAAGCAAGAAUCCAUCUGAGAACAAGGCAGUAACAUAGCUGUGAUGAGGUUUUAAAAUGCCUGUCUUUUUUUCAGCCAUUUGAAGUUUUGGCAACAGAGAUUAUAACUGGAAAGGUGUUAGAGGCAGAUAGCUACAGUGCAAUUCCUACUGAAAAGGUGGAUGGAACCUACUGUUGUGUAACUAGCUAUACAGGCCAACGGAGGUCCAUGGUGGAGCAGAUAUCUACUAGCUGCUCAUGAAGGAUGCCGUGCUUGAGCAGGUAGAUGUCCUUCAAUGCACCUGUGACCCCCUCAGAGAGCCUGUGCUGGAGCAGGCUCCUGGUAGAACCUGUGACCCCAUGGAGAAAGGAGCCCAAGCUGGAGCAGAUUUGCUGGCAGGACGUGUGACCCCAUGGAAAGGACUCAUUGUGGAGCAGUCUGUUCCUGAAGCAGGCCUCACACUCGAGAAAUUCAUGGAGGACUUUCUCCCAUGGGAGAAGCAGGGGAAGAGCAUGAGGAGGGAGCACCAGAGACAACCUGCGAUAAUAAACUGAGCACAACCUCCAUUCCCCAUCACUGUGCUGCUCGGGCAGAGGAGAGGAAGGAAAAUCAGGAAUGAAGUUGAGUCCUGGAAGAGGGGAAGGAAGGUGCUGUAACACUGAGCUUUUAUUUCCGAUUACCCUAUGCUGAUUUGAUUGGUAAUAAAUUGAUUUCCCCAAGUGGAGUCUAUUUUGCCCAUGAUGGCAA
Molecule: long non-coding RNA, 1855 nt
Organism: Calidris pugnax (ruff)
Lineage: Eukaryota; Metazoa; Chordata; Aves; Charadriiformes; Scolopacidae
Exons: 2
Source: RefSeq, a predicted model, not a curated record